UACAGGGGGAUCACACUUAGAAAUAGGUGCUAAUACCGCAUAAGCGCACGGUUCCGCAUGGAACAGUGUGAAAAACUCCGGUGGUAUACGAUGGAUCCGCGUCUGAUUAGCCAGUUGGCGGGGUAACGGCCCACCAAAGCGACGAUCAGUAGCCGGCCUGAGAGGGUGAACGGCCACAUUGGGACUGAGACACGGCUCAAACUCCUACGGGAGGCAGCAGUGGGGAAUAUUGCACAAUGGGCGAAACCCUGAUGCAGCGACGCCGCGUGAGUGAAGAAGUAUCUCGGUACGUAAAGCUCUAUCAGCAGGGAAGAAAAUGACGGUACCUGACUAAGAAGCCCCGGCUAACUACGUGCCAGCAGCCGCGGUAAUACGUAGGGGGCAAGCGUUAUCCGGAUUUACUGGGUGUAAAGGGAGCGUAGACGGCAGCGCAAGUCUGGAGUGAAAUGCCGGGGCCCAACCCCGGAACUGCUUUGGAAACUGUGCAGCUCGAGUGCAGGAGAGGUAAGCGGAAUUCCUAGUGUAGCGGUGAAAUGCGUAGAUAUUAGGAGGAACACCAGUGGCGAAGGCGGCUUACUGGACUGUAACUGACGUUGAGGCUCGAAAGCGUGGGGAGCAAACAGGAUUAGAUACCCUGGUAGCCCACGCCGUAAACGAUGAUUACUAGGUGUCGGGGGGCCAAGGCCCUCCGGUGCCGCCG
Molecule: ribosomal RNA, 700 nt
Filed under: uncultured bacterium
Lineage: Bacteria
Description: bacterial SSU rRNA
Rfam family: Bacterial small subunit ribosomal RNA
Source: RNAcentral